ACGCCGCGUGCUGGAAGACGGCCCUAUGGGUUGUAAACAGCUUUUGAUGGGGAAGAACCUGGACCGUUCGCGGACCACUGACGGUACCCAUCGAAUAAGCACCGGCUAACUCCGUGCCAGCAGCCGCGGUAAUACGGAGGGUGCAAGCGUUGUCCGGAAUCAUUGGGUGUAAAGGGUGUGCAGGCGGAAGUCUAAGUCGGAGGUGAAAUCUUGCCGCUUAACGGUAAAAGGGCCUUCGAAACUGGAUUUCUUGAGUUCGGAAGAGGUUGGUGGAAUUCGUGGUGUAGCGGUGAAAUGCAUAGAUAUCACGAAGAACACCGGUGGCGAAGGCGGCCAACUGGUCCGAUACUGACGCUGAGACACGAGAGCGUGGGGAGCGAACAGGAUUAGAUACCCUGGUAGUCCACGCUGUAAACGAUGCAUGCUAGUUGUUGUCCGUUCGCGGGCAGUGACGCAGUUAACGCAGUAAG
Molecule: ribosomal RNA, 470 nt
Filed under: uncultured bacterium
Lineage: Bacteria
Description: bacterial SSU rRNA
Rfam family: Bacterial small subunit ribosomal RNA
Source: RNAcentral